GAGUUUGCUUGCGUCUUUAGUUCUCCUUUUGUCUUUUUCUUUUCUUUUAGACGUCGUUACGGUCGGGGUUGGAUGGAUAGAGGAGGGAGGGAGGGGGAGGCGGUGUGGUGGUGGCGGUGGCGGUCGCGCGUGGAGGAGAGGCCACCGGCGGCGUUGGCACCGUCGGCGGGUGCCGCGUACAGUCCAGAGCACGAUGAAUUUCGGUUCCAGCCGCUACAGCUGCCUCCCGGGCUCGAGGAGGACCGAAGCGCCGCUGUGCGGCAGGAGCCGCACCGGUCCCAGGAGAAGCGCCGCCGCUUGCUCGCCACGGACGCCCCGUACCUGGCCCGCCGCGAGCCCGCGCCCCCGAAGAAGCGCCCCCGGUACCGGUUGAGCACCUCCCACGAGUACGUCCCCGAGCGCAGCGAGUACAAGGAGACGCGCGCGCGGCUGCUCAUACAGGCCGUCGGCGGCUCGGGCGAACACGAGUGCGGGGUGCUGUUCGGCCGGCGAGUAGGAGUCGUCCACGUGUAAAGUUGACACCCUUCCUUGUUCUACUCCUAAAGUACCCAGUGACUGCUGGCCUUGUGCGGCAGCCACCACCUCAUGCCGCUUAGAGCCCCGUUGAUGUGGCGCAGUCGCUGCCCGCUGGUCCGCUGCAUGUUUAUGAAGAAGAUGCUCAGGCCGCGCUAGGUGGUGCACUGCUAGCCGGGCGACCGCGGGCCGUGUUGGAUGGUGAUGGCCACGCCGUUCCGGCCGCUGCUCGAGUGGGAGGCCUGGGGAGGCCGCAGGGAGGGCGAGCUCGAGCAGCAGUAGCCGCUGGAGCCCGUCUGGGCCACCUGCCGCAGCUGCGACCGCGUGUAGCCGCCGCGCCUGAUGCUGUACGACGACGAGGGCCCGCUGGACAGCAUGCGCCUGUGCGUCGUCGGCGACACCCUGAGCAAGCCCGCCGACCACGUCGGCGACCGCUCGCGCGCCGGCACCUACCACUGCCUCCCGUUGGUGCUCCGCCUCCGCGAGGGGCAGCAGCCGAAGCGCGGGAAGCAGCGGAUGUUGCGCGCCACCGCCUACGGCGUGCUCCUCUCACCGAGGCGGAGGUUGGAGAUGAUGAGCAAGCUGCGCCGGCCGCCGCGCCGCGUGCAGCACUACGACCCGAGGAUGCGGCUCAAGCUCCUCCCCAGCCGCGUCGCGCGCACCGACCUCGCCCUGGAGCGGCCGCACCUGGCCGCCUCCUGCGGCACCGACGACCACGACGACGUGCGCGGCACCAUGUUGUGGUUGGUCCGGGUGGUCCCCCUCCCGCUCCGCUACGCGCGGCGGUACCUCCGCGAGGAGAUGCUCCGGGCGCAGCUGCAGCAGAAGAGGCCGGUGCAGGUGCGGAUGCUCGCUAAGUGCUCCUAGAUGCUGUUGCUCCGGCUGCCGGCCCCGGGCUACAUGUAUUGGUAGCCGCUGCCGCCGUUGUCUCUUCCCGAACGAGAGUUCAAGGACCUCCUAGUGUUCAGCCGCGUGGACAGCCACAAGGUCCUCCGCUCGAAACCCGUGCCGGCCGACUCCUAGCACCUGCUCUGCUCGCGGCAGACCUGCACCGUGGCGUUGCUGCUGCUUAUGCGGUGGCAGGCGCUGCUCCAGACCAACCUCUCGAACCGAUCAGGUUUCGAUAGGUACCGUCGGCGGCCAGCAGUCCUGCUCCUCAACAUCCUACAACAUCUAGUCACUUGUGGGAUGACAACCCCGCCAAUCCUUUAGUUUGGGAAAUUAACCCAGUAUUCUGUUGUGAAAGUGGUCAUGCCUUACUACGAGUGUCAAGCAAGCUUUUAUGCGCGCACUAUUCAGUUCUAUUGUGUGUGCUAACUUUAAGUUCUUGGCACACACAAGUUUGCUAAUACAAGUUGUUUAACACACGCUACUACAUCUUAUAGCGUGUGCCGCGCAUUAUCACCUGGCGCA
Molecule: ribosomal RNA, 1926 nt
Filed under: Triticum aestivum (bread wheat)
Lineage: Eukaryota; Viridiplantae; Streptophyta; Magnoliopsida; Poales; Poaceae
Description: partial small subunit ribosomal RNA
Source: RNAcentral